CUCUCGGAGAACUCCAUGGUGCGGGGAAGGCGGCGGCGGGGGCUGAGGAGGCGGCGGCAGCGGCGGCAGCGGCAGCGGCGGCAGCGGCAGCGGCGGCGCGGGCUCGUGUCACCGCGGCGGAGCCGCCGGGACCAAGGCGACGCGCUGAUUUUAAGCAAGUUUUAGGGGGAAAAAACUUACCCAUUUGCGCUCUCUCUAGAAGGACAGAGAGGAGGUUUUAGAAUAUUGUGGAGAAGAAUAUAGUAGAGAGCUCCCAUUCCCUAACCCAGGCUGGGCGGAUUGUGGAAAGAGCCGAGUCACAUUCAAGGAGAGCACUUGGAAUGGGGGGCUUGGUGGCCCUGGGGACUCUCAGGAGGCCAUGGUCAAGGCAGGUGCAGGGCACUAUGCUUCUCCACGUCAUAUGUCGGAAUCAUGGACCCAAACACAAAGCGCUUAGUAGUUAUGUGUAAUAUUCUUUUCGGGGGAUCAGAGAGCGCACUUCAGGCACCAUUUCUUUCUCACAUCUUUCGAGUGGGCCAGGAAAAGAAUUUCACACUACCUGGGAAUGGUAGGACAGGAACAUGACGGGACAUGCGUGAAAGUAUCUGCCAAACCCAACCAGGAAGAGGGGACACAGAGUAGGACAACUGCCGAGGAAGGGGGACAUUGAGGCAGCUUGCAGAAACACACAUGGAGAAACAGAACCAAAGAGCAGGGUAACCAGCAAACCAGGCAGUGGAGGCAGGGAUGGGUACCCAUCCCGAGAUCUUGGGUGAUACCAAAGGCGGCACAUCCGGAAGGCUGGUUAUACCUAGCGUGGAGGGGAGAGGGAGAACUGUUUCUUCCGUUCAAUAAAGCAAACCCUUCAACAAG
RNAcentral lists this long non-coding RNA (852 nucleotides) under Homo sapiens (human). RNAcentral's name for it is "long non-coding RNA NONHSAT155133.1". The record is from RNAcentral. Lineage: Eukaryota; Metazoa; Chordata; Mammalia; Primates; Hominidae.